GAUGAACGCUGGCGGCGUGCUUAAUACAUGCAAGUCGAGCGAACAGAUGAGGAGCUUGCUCCUCUGACGUGUGCGGCGCACGGGUGAGUAACACGUGUAUAACCUACCUAUAAGACUGGGAUAACUUCGGGAAACCGGAGCUAAUACCGUAGAAUAUAUUGCACCGCAGGGUGCAAUAGUGAAAGACGGUUUUGCUGUCACUUAUCGAUGCAUCCGGGCCGCAUUAGCUAGUUGGUAAGUUAACGGCCUACCAAGGCAACGAUGCGUAGCCGAACUGAGAGACUGGUCGCCGACCUGGGAAGUGAGCCGCGGACCAGACUCCUACGGGAGGCAGCAGUAGGGAAUGUUACGCAAUGGGGGAGAGCCUGACGGAGUAAGGGCGCGUGAGUGAUGACGGUCUUCGGAUCGUGAAACUCUGUUAUUAGGGAAGAACCAAUGUGUCAGUAACUAUGCAGGUAUUGACGGUAACUAAUAAGAAAGCCACGGCUAACUACGUG
Molecule: ribosomal RNA, 497 nt
Filed under: uncultured bacterium
Lineage: Bacteria
Description: partial 16S ribosomal RNA
Rfam family: Bacterial small subunit ribosomal RNA
Source: RNAcentral